RNAcentral lists this ribosomal RNA (292 nucleotides) under uncultured bacterium. RNAcentral's name for it is "partial 16S ribosomal RNA". It matches the Rfam family "Bacterial small subunit ribosomal RNA", at positions 505 to 796 of the family's 1533-position model. The record is from RNAcentral.
GUUACAGCAGCCGCGGUAAUACAGAGGGGGCAAGCGUUGUUCGGAAUUACUGGGCGUAAAGGGCGCGUAGGCGGCCUGCUAAGUCGAACGUGAAAUCCCCGAGCUCAACUCGGGAACUGCGUCCGAUACUGACAGGCUUGAAUCCGGGAGAGGGAUGCGGAAUUCCAGGUGUAGCGGUGAAAUGCGUAGAUAUCUGGAGGAACACCGGUGGCGAAGGCGGCAUCCUGGACCGGCAUUGACGCUGAGGCGCGAAAGCUAGGGGAGCAAACGGGAUUAGAUACCCUAGUAGUCC